GUCGCAUGCUUCCGGCCGCCAUGGAGGCCGCGGGAAUUCGAUUAGAGUUUGAUCAUGGCUCAGAUUGAACGCUGGCGGCAGGCCUAACACAUGCAAGUCGAGCGGUAGAGAGGUGCUUGCACCUCUUGAGAGCGGCGGACGGGUGAGUAAUGCCUAGGAAUCUGCCUGGUAGUGGGGGAUAACGCUCGGAAACGGACGCUAAUACCGCAUACGUCCUACGGGAGAAAGCAGGGGACCUUCGGGCCUUGCGCUAUCAGAUGAGCCUAGGUCGGAUUAGCUAGUUGGUGGGGUAAUGGCUCACCAAGGCGACGAUCCGUAACUGGUCUGAGAGGAUGAUCAGUCACACUGGAACUGAGACACGGUCCAGACUCCUACGGGAGGCAGCAGUGGGGAAUAUUGGACAAUGGGCGAAAGCCUGAUCCAGCCAUGCCGCGUGUGUGAAGAAGGUCUUCGGAUUGUAAAGCACUUUAAGUUGGGAGGAAGGGCAUUAACCUAAUACGUUAGUGUUUUGACGUUACCGACAGAAUAAGCACCGGCUAACUCUGUGCCAGCAGCCGCGGUAAUACGAAUCACUAGUGAAUUCGCGGCCGCCUGCAGGUCGACCAUAUGGGAGAGCUCCCAACGCGU
Molecule: ribosomal RNA, 627 nt
Filed under: uncultured Gammaproteobacteria bacterium
Lineage: Bacteria; Pseudomonadati; Pseudomonadota; Gammaproteobacteria
Description: partial 16S ribosomal RNA
Rfam family: Bacterial small subunit ribosomal RNA
Source: RNAcentral